GGGGAGUAUUGAAGCCCAAUCCGGAUUUGUGAGGGGGAAAUAAGUCCAAUGCAAUGAGUGGAGAAGGAAUUCAACAGCCAAUUCAAUCACUAAACACGUUUUUCAAGUGUUUCUCGUGGUCAAACAAUCACCGUUCAAACUCCAAUUUUCCCUCCACCUGAACACUCCUCAGUCACGCCGGAAUCAGUCACCGGCAGCGGCGAACCCCUAAAACGGUCAAACUAUACCUCAUUCACUUUGUGCCAUCACCCCCUAUCUGAAACCUUACUUUAAUUCAUCCAAAUUCAACUCGAUCAAACACAAAGAUCCACCAUAGUUAAGAACCCUAAUUGCUCAAACAUAAAUCAAACCAUGGAUUCAAGGAAUCAGAGCCUCAUAGGAGAAUGAUUUGAUUCCUUACACUCAGAGCUACAUACUGAUAAUUAAAAUUGAAGCAAAGAUAAGCACAAUCAGAGGAUGGAUCCCUAACCUUUAAGAUGACCUUGGCUCGGUGAAGAAGAUGAUGAUGAAUGAAACAAAACGCCCAGGAUUUGUGGACUUGCAGGAUUGUUGUUUGUAAUGUUGCAAGCUUGGUGCAGGUUUUGUAGCAGGGUUUUGCUCAUGGUUUACAAGUUGGUAUGCACUUGGUUGCAUUGUAGCAGGUUGUGGGCUUGGUAUGGUUUUGUAGGUCCAUAAGAAAGUUUGCAAGCCGGUGUAGUUGGUCUGGUUUAUCUUUGGUUUAUGCUCAGAAUUUGGCUUGGAAAUUGAAGUGCAUUGCUUGGAAUUAUGGAGUUUUCACAUUGCUUUUGGUCAUGAAGUUUUUGGACAUUUGUAAUUGGUUUAAAUGGAUGUAACUAUGCAUGUGGUUUAGGUCAUGUAGGAUAAGGCAUAGGCAUUGAUGGUUAUAUGUAAUUGAUGGAAUUGGAUUUUGUAAAUGGUUUAAAUUGUAAUUAAAAAGUAAUUUGAAAAAUGAAAUGGUAAUGACUUGUAAAUA
Molecule: long non-coding RNA, 973 nt
Organism: Lathyrus oleraceus (garden pea)
Lineage: Eukaryota; Viridiplantae; Streptophyta; Magnoliopsida; Fabales; Fabaceae
Exons: 2
Source: RefSeq, a predicted model, not a curated record